Molecule: small nuclear RNA, 163 nt
Organism: Sorex fumeus (smoky shrew)
Lineage: Eukaryota; Metazoa; Chordata; Mammalia; Eulipotyphla; Soricidae
Product: U1 spliceosomal RNA
Exons: 1
Source: RefSeq, a predicted model, not a curated record
AUACUUACCUCUCAGUGGAGACACCAUGAUCAUGAAGGUGUUUUUCCCAGGGCAAGUCUUAUCCAUUGCACUUCAGAAGGGCUGACCUCUGUGAUUUCCUAAAAUGUGGGGAUUUGACUGCAUAAUUUGUGGUAGUGGGGGACUGCAUUCAUGCUCUCCCCAC